AGUGAACGCUGGCGGUAGGCCUAACACAUGCAAGUCGAACGGCAGCACAGUAAGAGCUUGCUCUUACGGGUGGCGAGUGGCGGACGGGUGAGGAAUACAUCGGAAUCUACCUUUUCGUGGGGGAUAACGUAGGGAAACUUACGCUAAUACCGCAUACGACCUACGGGUGAAAGCAGGGGAUCUUCGGACCUUGCGCGAUUGAAUGAGCCGAUGUCGGAUUAGCUAGUUGGCGGGGUAAAGGCCCACCAAGGCGACGAUCCGUAGCUGGUCUGAGAGGAUGAUCAGCCACACUGGAACUGAGACACGGUCCAGACUCCUACGGGAGGCAGCAGUGGGGAAUAUUGGACAAUGGGCGCAAGCCUGAUCCAGCCAUACCGCGUGGGUGAAGAAGGCCCUCGGGUUGUAAAGCCCUUUUGUUGGGAAAGAAAAGCAGCAGGUUAAUACCCCGCUGUUCUGACGGUACCCAAAGAAUAAGCACCGGCUAACUUCGUG
RNAcentral lists this ribosomal RNA (492 nucleotides) under uncultured bacterium. RNAcentral's name for it is "partial 16S ribosomal RNA". It matches the Rfam family "Bacterial small subunit ribosomal RNA", at positions 29 to 507 of the family's 1533-position model. The record is from RNAcentral.